CCUACGGGAGGCAGCAGUGAGGAAUAUUGGUCAAUGGGCUCGAGCCUGAACCAGCCAAGUCGCGUGAAGGAUGACUGCCCUACGGGUUGUAAACUUCUUUUAUAAAGGAAUAAAGUGAGGCACGUGUGCCUUUUUGUAUGUACUUUAUGAAUCAGGCUCGGCUAACUCCGUGCCAGCAGCCGCGGUAAUACGGAGGACCAGAGCGUUAUCCGGAUUUAUUGGGUUUAAAGGGAGCGUAGAUGGGUUGUUAAGUCAGUUGUGAAAGUUUGCGGCGCAACCGUAAAAUUGCAAUUGAUACUGGCAGCCUUGAGUACAGUUGAGGUAGGCGGAAUUCGUGGUGUAGCGGUGAAAUGCUUAGAUAUCACGAAGAACUCCGAUUGCGAAGGCAGCCUACUAAACUGCCACUGACAUUGAUGCUCGAAAGUGUGGGUAUCAAACAGGAUUAGAUACCCUAGUAGUC
This 460-nucleotide ribosomal RNA is filed under the name uncultured bacterium. Its description in RNAcentral is "partial 16S ribosomal RNA". It matches the Rfam family "Bacterial small subunit ribosomal RNA", at positions 338 to 795 of the family's 1533-position model. The record is from RNAcentral.